RNAcentral lists this long non-coding RNA (11071 nucleotides) under Zostera marina. RNAcentral describes it as "long non-coding RNA (ZMAR_LNC002572)". Lineage: Eukaryota; Viridiplantae; Streptophyta; Magnoliopsida; Alismatales; Zosteraceae. The record is from RNAcentral.
AAAAACUUAAUCAUGAAGAAAUCAAUUAGAUUUCAUUGAAUCUUCCUCUCUUACAUUUUGAUUGUUGAUCGAGACGAGCAAGAUCUAGCCACUAUUAUUGGAGACCACGGUGGCCAUGGAAAGAAACAUCACACCAACCUUAUCUGCAAAUUUUGACGGAGACGGCUGCCGGCCUGGAUUUUUUCAUGGGUCCAAGUCAACAAGUCCAGAUCACUCCUAGUUGUGUGGUUGUUUAAUAAAAUAAUAGAAGUAUGGAAACUGGUUGUGCAGCCUUAGAGGAUCCUAAUCGAUGGCACGAGUUUUUUCAAAAUCGAUUCACAACGGCGGAGAUACUAUGAUGAUGUUGUAUAUGGUGGGCUUCUCUCUCUCCAUCUUGUCCAUGGCGAUCUUCGUAUGUGGAAAAUCCAAGAAAAAAAUGAAACAUGGUGGCCAUGGUGGUAGUUCUAGUGCCGAUGGCGGUGAUGGAGGAGGUGGCGGCAACGGAGGAGGUGGUGGCGGCAACGGAGGAGGUGGUGGCGGCAAUGGAGGAGGUGGUGGCGGCAACGGAGGAGGCUAGGAGGAGUAGUUAAUGCUUAACUAUAGUAUAAUUAUAUAAAUAAAAUAAGAAUUGUUAUUUUCUAUUUUGUGAAUGAUUGGUUUGAGCAAAGAUUGAUCAAUAUAUAUGCAAAUACACUACAAAAAAAAUAAACUUUUAACGACCGAUUUUGGCAUUAAUGUCUAAAUUUUCGCCUAUCUUUUGAAAUCAUUCUUUCGAAAACCCACAAAAAAUCAUAAAUCCCCAAUUCUGUUUGUCUAAUUUUUGUCUAUAUGGUCUUAAAAUUAUAAUUUUUAUUUAAAUAUUUUUUUUCGGGUUGGUAGAUCUCUUACGAUUCACACCGACAAGCCUAAAUCAGACCGAAUCCGCCUUGAUCCUAACCAAAUUCACAUUAAGGAUGGUGCCUUGCAUCUGCGCAAAAGCACGCACUGUGUAACGGAAUUAGUGAAGUAAUUAGAAUUCAGGGAUUAACUCUGUAAUUAGAGAACAGAGUAAUUAAAAUAAACUCUGUAAAUUAAACUAAAUUCUGGAUAUAAAUAUAAUUAAUAAUAUCUUUAGAGUGUUUUACAAUUUCUAUUUAAGUUUCAUUAUGCAGAUAAUUUACCCAAAACUCAUUCCAAGCAUAACUGAGAAGUCGAGAGACAUAGCUGCAAAUGUUUCAAGUUUAACAAAGUUGAGUUUGUUAAAUGUAAUUGAUAUAAAAACAAAGCUAUGAUUAGCAGUUGAAUUAAUGAAAACUAAUUACACAACUAAUCUCUCUCGUUUUCACUGUCACCCAAGAACAAUUAAUAUUGUAGCCCAAAGUUCUUCCCUUUUUAUCUUCUACCACCGGACCAGCCCACCUCCGGCGACCCAUCGACGGUGUUUCUCUUUUCAGUCCAACCCACACUGGUUUUAACAUGGUAUCAGUUGGAAACGACGUCAAUUUGGACCUUAAUUCCGCAAUGGCAGCUUCUGAAAACUUUGUUUCUGAAAGAUCAAUGGACAAUUCAGAAGAAUUAUCAUCCAGUCCGAGAGAAAAUGCAAGAUUUUUCAGAUCUUCAAGAAGAAAAGAUAAAAGAUCUGAACAAUAAACACCAUCAACCAAUGAAUAAGAAGUGCUCAAGAAAAUCUCUUUUCUUUCUCACUGCUAGCUGGUGAAGCCAACUAACUGGAGAAGCCAACUAUGUAGUCUGGGCAAAUGCAAUGAAAUUAUCUUUGGUCUCAAGAAAGAAAACUGCAUUCAUCAAUGGGAAAAUUAAAAGACCUAUAGAUGAAACAGAGGAGGAGUUUGAAGAUUGGAAGAUGGUGAAUGGGCUGAUUUUGUCUUGGAUUAUAAAUGAAGUGAACCCUCAGAUAACAUCAACUCUAAUCCACACAAAUACUGCCUAUGAAGCUUGGUUUGAGCUUCAAGAAAGGUACACGCAAAAGAAUUAUGCCACCAAAACCAGUCAACUAAGGUAUAAAUAAAUACUUUAAAUCAAGAAAAUGAUUUUGUCUCAUCAUAUUUUGAUAAAUAUAAAUCACUCUGGGAUCAGCAUAUAGAAAUAGAAAAACCAGACUGCAAGUUUUGCACAAUGUGUGUGCCUAUAUACACUAAGAAAUUUGAGAAAGAUAGAACUCACCAAUUUCUUUUAAGACUUAAAAAUUAAGAUCUUAUGACCAUAAGAAGUCAAGUUUUAGCAUAUUCUAAAUUACCAUCCAUGAACCAAGUUAUUUCUUUAUUUAUUCAAGAAGAAAAACAAAAGGUCAAUUUUAGAGAAAAAAUAAGUAGAAAUUCAACAACCCUAUAUACUAAGAAGAAUGAAAAAGAGGAAAAGAAUGAUGAACCAAAGAAGAAGGGAGUGUGUAGUAAAAAUGGAAAGAAAUUGGACACCAAUUUCUACUGUGACAAUUGCAAGUAUUUUGGUCAUCUUAGGGAGGAUUGCUAUCAUAUAGUGGACUUUCCAAAGAAAAACAAAAAUAACUCAAAGAAAGCAAAGGACUCUGCAAAUCAGGCAACUACUUCAACCAAUAUGCCUAAUCUAAGCAACGAGGAGCUCCUAUUACUCAAGGAUUUAUUGAACAAAUCCUCUGGUAUAUAUGUAUUUUUCCUUAAAUAUUUUAAAUUAUAAAAAUGUCUGGAUCAUUGAUAUUGGAGCAUCCCAUGAUUAGGGUUAAUUAAACAUGAUCAUCCAUACAAACUAUGUAUCGGCAAUUUAGAUUCUACAAGAUUCACAACUAGUGCAUCGUCAAAUUCGAGGGAAAUUCGAGGUUAGAGACCCCACCUUAAAACUUUAUAAAGAACAAGUCCUCAAACUAUUAAGAAAUUUUGAAAAGAUAAAAUUCAAUAUAAUAAACAAAAACUUGAAUGAGGAAGCCGAUGCACUAGACAAGUUAAGACCAGUCCUCUCACCGUUAGAAGAAAGAAAAUAGAUUCAAAUGUGAAAGAAUUACAUUCGCCCUCAAUUUACAUAAUCACAUACGAGGAAGAUAACUGGAGAGUCCCUAUCUUUAAAUAUUUAAACAGCGAAAAGUUAAAAUAUGACAAAAAAAAUGAAGAAAAUAAGAAAUCAAGCAGCCCACUUUUCAACAAUAGAACACGGAAUAAUUAGGAGAAAUGCAAAAGACAGCGAUUUACCUCCCGUGGCUAAAUCAAUUUAGCUACGGAUUUGACCAAAGGGCCACUAAUCUUGGUCGUGGUUGUUUUCUUGUAGUAACAGCUUGUGUGUCUCAAUAGAAGAAGGAAAAGCAAUAGCGAAAAGUAUACACUAUGGAGCAAAUGGAGCACAUCAGGGAGGUAGGAAUUUAAAUUUACAAGUCCAGAAGCAGGAAUAUUAUUGGCCACAGAUGGAAUGGCAUACCAAAAAAAUAGCAAAAGACUGCAAGGAGUACUGUCAAUUGUACGCAAAUAUUUAAAGAGGACCUUCUACAGAAUUAACAAGCAUUGUAACUCCGGUACCUUUCGCUAAAUAGGGUUUGGACAUAGUGGGUCUAUUUCCCACAACAUCCAAUGGAAGAAUUUUUUUUUUGUAGCAGUAGACUAUUUGACCAAAUGGACAGAAGGCAAACCAGUAAAAACAAUUUCCCAAGAAAACGCUGUAAAGUUUGUAUUCAAAAGCAUAGUAUGCAGAUUCAGGGUCCCAGUACAUAUCAUCACCGACAAUGGAACGCAAUUUGCAGGAAGUGGCAUGAAAAAGUUUUGCAAGGAUAAUGAGAUAAAAUUAAGCUUUUCUUCAGUUUAUCACCCGCAAUCUAACGGCCAAGUAGAAGCAACAAAUAAAACCUUGAUCAAUAUUCUGAAAAGAAAAAUAGGUGAAAACCCUAAGGUAUGAGUAGAUCUAAUACCAAAAGUACUGUGGGUUUACAGAACAACAAUAAAGACAGCAAAUGGUAACACCUUGCAAAACUUAGCUUUUGGACUAGAAGCAGUAGCACCUUGCGAGUUAGUAUGGUCAUCAACAAGAAUCUCGUCAUACAGCGAAGAAUCUAACGAGGAAAGGAUGAUAGAUAAUACGGGAAGAAUAGAGAAAAUUAGAGAAGAAGCUGAAAUAAAUAGAAAUAGCAUAUAAAAGAAAGUUGGAAAGAAGUUAUAACAGAAGGGUCAAAGGAAAGAACUUAGCAGUGGGAGAUUUGGUACUCAGAAACGCUCGUUUGAUAAUGACUGAACAAAAUAAAGGCAAAUUAUCACAAAAUUGAGAAGGCUCAUAUAUCAUCAAGAAAGAAUGGAAGCCAGAAACAUUUAAGCUAAUGAAGAAAGAUGGUUCUAAAAUACCAAGGACAUGGCAUGCGUAUAAUCUGAGAAAGUAUUUUCCCUAGUCAUCAAAAAUCAAAAUGGUACAUAUUGUAAAUUAUCAUCAACUAAUAAAUAAAUGGUCCACUUUAUAAAUACUUGAGAGUUAAGGGUCCGAAAAGAAUAUUCGUGGAGAAGAAAAAUAAUAUACCCCGUGGAGAAGCAAAACUAUCAAACAUAAGUUUUACGACGAUGGUAGUGGGAGGGGGUGUAGAGUGCAUGGUACCCAUACACCCCGUGGUAGGUAUAGUAGCCAAAGCUGGAUACCUCCGCAGACUGAAGCUGCACUAGGUGCCUUUUCACAUUAAGCAAUAGUUGGUUUUGUCGUUCGAGUAGGGCCGACAGACGAUUAUUGGUUCCUUCAUCCGCGGAGGUAACAAGUAAGCUUGCAAUUGUUAGGCAAGUUAGUUAAGCAUUAGUUAAGCGGUUAGUCAUUGUAAACAAUAUAUAUAAAUAUCAAGUUCAUCAAUAAAGAUCAACACAUUGAGUAUCAUUUCUUCACUUUGUAAUAUGGUAUCGAGAGCAGGCGUUCUUCCAGAGACGGCGCAAUUUUUUCUUACUAUUUUCAUCUGCUAGAAUCGCGAUCCAGAGACCACGCAAUUUCUCUUCCGCUCCAGGUUUCUCUUCCGUUCCAGGUUGACGCAAAUCCAGAGACAACACGUCGAUUUUUCUUGCGCGAUCGAUUUUUCUUCCACGCUUGAUUUCUCUUCCGCGUUGCGAUCAAGGUGGCCGCAAGUGUAAAAUUGGAUCAUACCAAUUUCUUCUCCUGGAAGGCGCAAACGGUAGGCCAUCUCCGCGGCUAUGGUUUUCUAAAAUACAUCGAGUCUCCCGUCGAUUCCACAACGGCGGCAGCGGUACAACAUGAUCAAUUGUUGUUGGGAUGACUUCUGUCCGCCCUCUCUCCAGCCAUGUUACCUCAGGUGACUGCCUUCACAACGUCGCUCCAGAAUAUUUUCAAUUACAAAUCUAAAUCAAGGAGGCUUCAACUAAGGCAUGAAAUAUUUACCUUCAAGAAAGGGGGUCUUACCGGCGACGAAUACCUAGCGGCGCUGUCCAGAAAAGUCGAUGAAGUGAGGGACACCGGAAUCGAGAUGGAAGACGGCGAGCUCGCUCUGAUUGCUUUGGACGGACUCGACACUUCCUACGACAUCUUCGUCACCGCGGUCACCGCAUCGGCAUGCGAUCUCGCGUUUUCUGAAUUCAAGGGGCUACUACGAGCCUAUGAAAAAUGUCAUAAUCGCCAAAUUUCAUUCCCAUAGGCAAAUCUGGUCCAAUCUGAGGGUCAUUUUAAAUCUAAUUCCAACUCUAUUAUAUAUAUGUGAAAUUUGUUCCAAACCAGGUCACUCGAAUGUGGCUUGUUUCACUCGGCACAAUGAAUGCAGAUUUCCUACUCCGCCUAAUCCUCGUCGCAACAGAUAUCGAGGAUAUCAGAACAAUGAAAAUAAAAAGGCAGAGGCUAAUGUGGGUUGGUACACAGACUCUGGUUGUACAGAUCAUGUGACACAAAAUAAAGAAACAUUGAAGGAGGUUGACCUUGUUCCCAGAGAAACAAAUUUGACAGUUGCAAAUGGGAAUAUUAUUUCAAUUAAAUCUACUGGUAAAACCAAAUAUUCUUGCGAUGGUAGAUUGGUUUUGCUUAACGAUGUUCUUCAUAUACCAGAAAUUAAGAAGAACUUAUAAUCUGUUAAGAAAUUAUGUAAAGAUAAUUCAGUCAAGGUUAUAUUUGACAAUGACAUUGUUUCUAUUAAGGAUCGAACGACUGAUGAAAAGCUGGCGGUUGGAGGUAUCAAGGAAGGACUCUACUAUAUUGAUUUUGAGGAGCAACGAAAUUUUCCUAGUGUGAAUUUGGCGACAAAAGCUUCGGUCUUUAUCUGACAUGAGAGAUUUGGUCAUGCAAAUAACAAAGUAAUUAAAAGUAUGAUUAGGAAAUUUAAUCUUCCUGUAAUAAAAAAUAAUAAUAAUAAAAGUAAAUAUCAACAUUGUUUGGUUGGUAAGAUACACAGAUCUUCAUAUCACUCUCUUUCGGAAAAAUCCUCAUCUAUGCCACUUGAACUCGUGUAUGCCAAUGUCUGGGGCCCAGCACCGGUAAUAUCUGAAAAUGGUGAAAGAUAUUUUGUUAAUUUUGUGGAUGAUUUCAGCAGGUACGAUUGGUUGUUUCCAAUCAGUACAAAAUCAAGUGUUCGGGAUAUAUUCGUAAAAUUUAAAGCUCUAAUCGAAAAUUAGUUGAACCGAAAAAUGAAAAUGCUUCAAACAGACAAUGGUGGCGAAUUCUUGGCGUUAAAACCACUUCUUGAUCAGUUUGGAAUCAAACAUAGACGCUCUUGUCCUCAUACUCACCCACAAAUGGGGGUGGUUGAACGCCGACACAGGUAUAUUAUAGAUGGUACACUCACACUACUCAACCGAACAAAUUUACCAAAGAGCUUCUGAAAUUACGCAACAUCCACCAUAGCUUUUCUUUAUAACAGAACCUCAACAAAGGUUCUUGGAGGAAAUAUACCAUUCGAAUUAUUAUUCGGGAAGUCUCCAAACGUAAAAGAUUUAAAAACAUUUGGGUGUCGUGCUUACCCGAACUUGCGACCAUUUCAGAAAUACAAGUUUUCAGAAAUAUCAACUGCUCAUAUAUUUAUCGGUUAUCCUCGAGAACACUCCAGCUACAUGUGUUUAAAUUCAGUUACCAAGAAAACAAUUAUUUCGAAUGAUGUAGUCUUCAUUGAAGACAAUUUUGAAUUAAAUAAAAUGUUACAUAUAGGUAGUCUUCCUACACCGGCGGGGAUUGAGAUGAAUCUGAUCCCGGUUAUCAAGGCCAACCCUAUCUCGGUUAAUAUGAAUCUGGUUUCAAAUGAACAAGAUGACACAACAGAACGAGUGGAGGAACAAAUUAUUCUAGAUCAGGCUCAAAUCAGGUUAAACCAGGUUAAUCAAGCCCAGACUGAGCCCAACACUAUUCCAGAUGCACCACAUCAUAUGACUACUCGUGCGAAAUCAGGAAUUGUGAAACAAAAUUCCAAGUACGCAUUUCAAGUCUCCACUACUUCCCUAGUCCCAUCUGGUUUUUCCGAAACUGCAUGUAAUCUACGUUGGAAAAUGACCAUGGAUAACGAGAUAUAAGCCUUACAUCAGAAUAAUACAUGGACAUUGGUGUCUCUGGAUCCAUCGCAAAAUGUACUCUCAUGCAAAUGGGUGUUUAAACAGAAGUUAGAUGAAGCGGGCAAUAUUGAUCGUUUUAAAGCCCGGCUAGUUGCGAAUGGAAUGCGUCAACUUGACGAAAUAGAUGUUGAAGAAACAUUCACUCCGGUCAUCAAACCACCAACGGUGAAGAUCUUGCGAUCACUUGGAGGUGGAAACUAUGGCAAUUCGACGUUUCCUACGCAUUCUUACACGGUACCUUGAAAGAAGAUGUUUUUAUGCAACAACCACCGGGCUACAAGGAUCCCAAUAAUCCCAAAGGAAUUUGCAAGUUACUCAAGUCCAUUUACGGGUUACGAUAAUCUCCACGAGCUUGGUUUCAUAGUCUCCGAGACUUUCUAGUUUCAUUCGGAUUUACGGAAUCGGUUUCUGAUCAAUCUCUUUUCAUGUACUUCCACGAGAAUAUCAAGACGUAUCUUGUUUACGUCGAUGAUAUUAUCUUUCCGUCUUCUUCAAAACAGUUCACCCAACUCUUUGUAACAAAAAUCAGUAAAGAAUUCGCCAUCAAGGAUUUGGGGAUGUUAAAGUUCUUUCUAGGUAUACAUGUCAACAUAUUACCAAAUGACUCGCUCCUUCUCACACAAUACCAGUACUUGGGCCUUGGCUAAUCUACUCCAUGGGGCAAAUCUGAAACUUGUUCCAACGCCAAUGGAACCUCGAGGAUCUCUCUACAAUCAAUCACCGGAACUAGAUACAACAGAUUGCACAAAGUUUAGACAAAUUGUGGGGUUACUACAAUAUUUAACCGUGACUCGACCCGAUAUCGCUUAUAAUGUAAACAAGGUUUCACAAUUCAUGAAGAAACCUAAAAAGGUACAUUGGAUAGCUCUAUAACGAAUAUUUUGCUAUCUCUCCGGCACGCCAUACGUAGGGAUUACAAUAAGCAAAAUAAAGGAGUUAGAGCUCAUCGCUUUUUCUGACGCCGAUUGGGCCAGUGACCCAUUUGACAGAAGGAGUCACGAUGGUCAUCUAAUAUUCUUGGGGGACAACCUUAUCACUUGGCAAUCGAAGAAACAAUCCUCUGUCGCAAGGUCUUCAACUGAAGCGGAGUAUCGGAGCCUAGCAGAUGCGGCGGUAGAUUUGAAUUGGACACAAUCGGUGAUUAAAGAAUUAGGGUUACAAAUUAAACUCCCAUUCGUGAUAAGGUGCGAUAAUAUAGGAGCUAAUUAUCUUACAAAUAAUCCAAUAUUUUAUGCGAAAUCAAAACACAUUGCGAUUAUCUAUCACUUUGUCAGAGAGCAGGUAGAGGCCGGCUCACUCAUGGUCAAACAUAUCGGCACCAAGGAUCAGUUAGCAGAUAUCUAACAAAACCGCUUACUAUUUCUAUUUUUGAGUUUUUAAAAUCCAAACUUAUCAAUUUACUCCCUCUAAGUUUGCGGGGGGGAUGUUAGGCAAGUUAGUUAAACAUUAGUUAAGCGGUUAGUCAUUGUAAACAAUAUAUAUAGAUAUCAAGUUCAUCAAUAAAGAUCGACACAUUGAGUAUCAUUAUUUCACUCUGUAAUAGCAAUGACUCCAUGCUGGUAAACUAACUCCAACCCAUACUCUUCUAGAAGUGAUCGUGUCAUGGUCCGAGUGAAGCAGCAAAAGCGAAGGACGGGGGGGAGUAACUGUUGCGGCUUUAUUUGGCCGGGUUAAAUAUUAUACCCGGACUAAACAAAACCCAACAAAUAUGCAUUCCUGAAACCAGGCUACAUGGCAGUAUCCUCUCUACGUCGACACCUGUCCAGACUACGUGUUAAAGAAUUACAUGCAAAAUUGUACUAUAAGAAGGGAGCAAGAUUAACGGACAAGGGGGGGAGAAAUAUUGAAACACCUAUCGACAGGCGUAUUCCAUGGCACUAGUUUUAGUUUUUUCAAAAUCGGUUCACAACGGCGGAGAUACUAUGAUGAUGUUGUAUAUGAUGGGCUUUUCUCUCUCCAUCUUGUCCAUGGCGAUCUUCGUGUGUGGAAAAUUCAAGAAAAAAAUGAAACAUGGUAGCCAUGGUGCUGGUUAUUAUGGCGAUGGUGGUGAUGGAGGAGGUGGCGACGGAGGUGGUGGUGGUGGCAAUGGAGGAGGUGGUGGUGGCAACUGAGGAGGCUAUAGGAGAGGGUCGUUAAUGCUUAACUAUAGUAUAAUUAAUUAUAUAGGAACCGCUUUUGGUGUGGUUGGGUGCGCCGGCGAGAACUUCACUACCAAGGCGCUCCUCUGGACGUCGCCACACCUCCGAACAGUCACUAGGCGGUCGCGAACAUCGCCAUCCGACGGUCCGCCGCACCUGAAACCCAGUGUAAUUAUAUAUAAAAUAAGAAUUGUUAUUUUCUAUUUUGUGAAUGAUUGGUUUGAGAUAAGAUUGAUCAAUAUAUACGCAAAUACACUACAAGAAAAUAAACUUUUAACGACGGAUUUUGGCAUUCAUGUCUAAAUUUUCACAUAUCUCUUGAAAUCAUUCUUUCGAAAACCCACAAAAAUCAUAAAUUCCCAAUCCUGUUUGUCUAAUUUUUGUUUAUAUGGUCUUAACAUUAUAUUUUUUAUUUAAAUAUUUUUUUUCGGGUUGGUAGAUCUCUUAUGAUUCACACUAAUUCACAUUGACAAGCCUAAAUCAGACCGAAUCCGCCUGGAUCCUAUCCAAAUUCACACUAAGGGUGGCACAUUACCUUGCAUCUGCGCAAAAGCACGCACUGCAUAUGCGCAUCCGAAACUUUGAUUAUAUGUAAUUAGUUAUAGACAUGAACAUGCAAUUAGUUAUAGACCUGAACAUGCAAUUAGUUGUGGACCUGAACAUGCAAAUAGUUAUAUACUUGAACAUAUAAUUAAUUGUACACAUGAUUAUGUAAUUAGUUAUAACCUGAACAUAUCUUAGUUAUACAUCUGGACAUGGGAUGGAUUCUUGACAAAAAAGAAAAUUGUCGGAAAAUAUAACGGUCGGAGAAGAAAAUAUCAAAAAAUAAAAUGUCAGAUACAACCGAGAUUCAGAAACUUCGACGAUGCAAAAAGAGAAAAGACAAACACAAAGAGAAAACGUGAAAACUCGAUCAAAGAAGAUUAAGAUUCGAUCGACGAGAAAGUAAACUGGAAGUUGAGAGUGAUAAGUGUGAAAUGAUGAAAGAGUGAGAAGAUGUGGUUAAAUAUUGGUUAUUAAGACUGAAGAUUCAGAAUUUCCUUUCAAUCGACUGGUAAAUCUCCUGUAUUAAUUCAGAUGAUCGAUCGGUUGCCCACCGACCAACCAGAUGAUCGAUCAAUCUGAGCUCAAACUAGCUAGACAUUUAUCCAAUCAUAUACAAAAUAGAAAAUAACAAGUCUAAUUUUAUUUAUAUAAUUAUACUAUAGUUAAGAAUUAACUACCACCACCACCGUUGCCACCACCACCUCCUCCGUCACAACCACCACCAUCGCCACCAAAGAAGUCACCAAAACAACCAUAAUGGACGCCAGGACUACUAACGUGACGAUCAUGUUUCUUUUUUUUCUUGGACUUCCCGCACACGAAGAUCGCCAUGGACAAGAUGGAGAGGGAGAAACCCACCAUAUACAACAUCAUCAUGGUAUCUCUGUCGCUGUGAAUCGAAUUUGAGAAAACUCGCGCCAUGGAAUAUGACCAAUCGGGUUUCCUCUAAAG